Molecule: ribosomal RNA, 450 nt
Filed under: uncultured Glomus
Lineage: Eukaryota; Fungi; Glomeromycota; Glomeromycetes; Glomerales; Glomeraceae
Description: SSU rRNA
Rfam family: Eukaryotic small subunit ribosomal RNA
Source: RNAcentral
AGCAGCCGCGGUAAUUCCAGCUCCAAUAACGUAUAUUAAAGUUGUUGCAGUUAAAAAGCUCGUAGUUGAAUUUCGGGGUUAGUAGGUUGGUCAUGCCUCUGGUAUGCACUGGUCUCACUGAUUCCUCCUUCCUGAUGAGCCGUAAUGCCAUUAAUUUGGUGUUGCGGGGAAUUUGGACUGUUACUUUGAAAAAUUAGAGUGUUUAAAGCAAGCUAACGCUUGAAUACAUUAGCAUGGAAUAAUGAAAUAGGACGUUCGAUCCUAUUUUGUUGGUUUCUAGGAUUGACGUAAUGAUUAAUAGGGAUAGUUGGGGGCAUUAGUAUUCAAUUGUCAGAGGUGAAAUUCUUGGAUUUAUUGAAGACUAACUACUGCGAAAGCAUUUGCCAAGGAUGUUUUCAUUAAUCAAGAACGAAAGUUAGGGGAUCGAAGACGAUCAGAUACCGUCGUAGU